Candidatus Schekmanbacteria bacterium is the source of this 72-nucleotide non-coding RNA. The record is from Rfam. Lineage: Bacteria; Candidatus Schekmaniibacteriota.
GCCGGUGUAGCUCAGGGGUAGAGCAACUGAUUCGUAAUCAGUAGGUCGGGAGUUCGAUUCUCCCUGCCGGCU